This 391-nucleotide ribosomal RNA is filed under the name uncultured bacterium. RNAcentral describes it as "bacterial SSU rRNA". It matches the Rfam family "Bacterial small subunit ribosomal RNA", at positions 28 to 418 of the family's 1533-position model. The record is from RNAcentral.
AUUGAACGCUGGCGGCAUGCUUUACACAUGCAAGUCGAACGGCAGCGGGGGCUUCGGCCUGCCGGCGAGUGGCGAACGGGUGAGUAAUGCAUCGGAACGUGCCCAUGUUGUGGGGGAUAACUACGCGAAAGCGUAGCUAAUACCGCAUAAGCCCUGAGGGGGAAAGCGGGGGAUUCUUCGGAACCUCGUGCGAUUGGAGCGGCCGAUGUCGGAUUAGCUAGUAGGUGAGGUAAAGGCUCACCUAGGCGACGAUCCGUAGCGGGUCUGAGAGGAUGAUCCGCCACACUGGGACUGAGACACGGCCCAGACUCCUACGGGAGGCAGCAGUGGGGAAUUUUGGACAAUGGGCGCAAGCCUGAUCCAGCCAUGCCGCGUGAGUGAAGAAGGCCUC